RNAcentral lists this long non-coding RNA (1019 nucleotides) under Scleropages formosus (Asian bonytongue). Its description in RNAcentral is "lncRNA (ENSSFOG00015030025.1)". The record is from RNAcentral. Lineage: Eukaryota; Metazoa; Chordata; Actinopteri; Osteoglossiformes; Osteoglossidae.
AUGAGGCACAACAUGCGCAGAUCCCAGCCCACUCUAACUGCGAGCCCACAGAAAGGAUCCAGCUGGUGGCAUACGGUGGAGGGCAGCAGUCAGAGAGCUCUGGGGCUGCAUCCUGCUCCGGUGUUGCUCUCACAGAAGGAGGACCGUGGCAGAACCAUCGCCCAUAGGCUGCAUCUUGCUGCUGCAGAGAAAGUAAGACGUCAUCUGGUUGGAGGACGAUUGGCUGGAAAUGACAGACCCCAUCGGCCUGGAGGGCAUUUCUCAGAUCCUUCACCCCCAUGAGGAGGAACGAAAGAGACAGAAAGACUGUUGGAAGAGUGAAAAAAAUGCUUUAGUGGAAAUUCUCCUGCAUCUCUCCCCUGCUUUUGCUAGUGCGGUGAAUUGGAGAUGGCUCUUCCUGCUGGCGCAUGGAAGGCCCGCGGCAUGCUGGAACUCCACAUGGAGGCAUCGAGGACUUUGAAUAGACGUGCCCCAAGUGAGAGGAGCCUCUCCCCUGCUUCCUGCUGUGAGAGAGACAGUGCAUGGAGCAGAACCAACCUGUACCUCUUGCCUUUCUAGAUUAACCCUCUAUGUGAUAAUAGUUACUUUUAUAACAUGUCUCACAUAAAACACUGAGAUUUUUGCUGCUGAGUAUGGGAAGCAAAGCCAACAUUUCACACUUGACCAACUCCUGAAAGGCAGCUCUCCAGGAAGGAGUUGAGGUGUUGAGGACAUGUGGUCUUAAGGCUCCUUCUGUAAGGCCAGGGCUGGAGGAGUAGGUGAAGGAGGACAUAAGGGCAAUACUGUCUUACUAUGGCCCCAGUCUGCUAAUGCAGCUAAGGUCACAGGAUGGUAAACAUUUGUACCAUGUGCAGGAGGUCCACAAUCGAAACCAGAAGAUUCUCAGUUCAGACUCACUUGUGAUGGAAUGAACUCCCUCUCCCACUCAGAACUGCUGAAUCCCUGUCAAUAUUCAAGAAAAUCUCAAAAUUCAUUGGUUCUGGACCCACUUCUCUCCUUAAACCUGUACUACAUCACAG